This is a long non-coding RNA of Populus euphratica (Euphrates poplar), 1686 nucleotides long. RefSeq lists it as uncharacterized. The transcript has 2 exons. The record is from RefSeq and is a predicted model, not a curated record. NCBI's taxonomy places the organism in Eukaryota, Viridiplantae, Streptophyta, Magnoliopsida, Malpighiales, Salicaceae.
AAGGCUGGCUAAGUGCUAUAACUAUCAUGACCACGAACACGUGAUAAAAAUUAACCCUCAAACUUGAGUUACGAGUUGCUCGAGUCCACCAGGAUCUUUUCAUAUUGCUAUUUUCCGUUUAUUUGUUUCUAAUGGAGUUGGUUUUAUUGUUUAUAUAAACAGUAAAACAGGUUAAUAAAUUAUUUUAAUUGCUUAGUUAACAAUUAAAUGUUGUAGCAUAUAGUGAUUAAUAUAUUAUUUAAAUCAUUCAAUUAACAAAUAUGUGAAGUGGCUCAAAUUAUUACAUAGACUAUAGACCGACCUCUAAUUCCUAUAAUGAUGCAAUGGGAGCUUAUGGCUGGAAAAGAAUCAAUUUAGAGAGCCCCUUCCGGCUUCAAUGGUAACUAGAUCAUCUUUAGGUACCUAUAAUGAGAUUUAUAAACACUAUCUAAUUGUAAGUGUUUGUGCGUGUAAAUUCUUUCUAUAUAAAUUUAAACCACUAUUGGUCAUAUUCAAGAAAUGGAAGAAGCUAUACGAGGUUUUUGCCAACAGUACCUAAUCUAUUCGUACAGAUCUAAGCUAAGUGAUACAUGACAUUGUAACGAAAAUAUCUAAAUAAAUGUCUUAUUCUUUUCAAUAAUCCAUAUUUGUAGCAAUCAAAUACUAUUCUUACUCCCCAAAUUGAUUAAUGAUUGGUUACAAAUUUCUAUGAUCUAUAUUCUCUCUGAAUAGAAAGGAAUAAAGUUAUAAAACACACGAAAUAUCUUGCCUAUGAAUUAUUGAAAAAUGUAUCAACAUAAAUACGAUAGUAAACCCAGCUACAAGUCUAACACUAAGAUACAAGGAUCCCAAUGCCGUUAGGUUUAGAAAAGGAAACCAAAUUAGCCUCGCAUUAGGCCACCAUAUCCUCCAACAAGGGAUCGCAGAACAAUGCCUUGACAAUCCAUAAUUUUUCACCAUCAGAACAUUCACCAUUUGCGAGAUAUCAUCCCUAAAUUUUGAUAUCCUAAAGCACCUUUUCCUGAGAGACAAGUUUCCCUAGAAAAGCUAUAACAUAGCAUUUGGUUGUUUGUAAAAUAGUGGCAUGCUGUGUAAUUGGGAAGGUUUCUACGAUGAGUAAAUCACAAUGAUUCUACAAAAAUUCAAUUCCAGGUGGGACUCCACUUCUAUGUCAGUAUCAUGCUCACCGCAACCUACUAACCCUUGAUAACAUCUCUUACAUCACAGUUAAAUUAUAUUUUAUAGAAAAUACACUCCAAGUUCAUUGGAUAAACUUAUUUUAAGCCUAGCAUAGAUAUAAGGUUUACAAAUCUAAUUCCCUUACAGCCAUACUAUUACAUAUGUGAAAGUUACUGUAUCAAUACGGUGAGGGGUAGUAGGAUAGCAGAUGUUUCCAACUAAAACACCCAAGACUGGCACCGUUCAACAGGUAUUAAGAUUAAGACAUGUGUUUUCUUGGCAAUUACAGACUAUACAUUAAUCAUGCAACUGCUUCUAUCUCAUUGAAGACACAUGUUAGUUUGGCAACCCAGUAGGAAACACUCAUGUUGCUUGUUCUUGCAUAUGCCUCCAUCCAAAAUCAGAAACCAGAAUAUAAGUAAACAUACAAAAAGAUAUCUCACGGAAAAAUAUUUAAGCAAAAAUAUGAUCUUCUCAGAGACAACGCAUCGAGAAAUAUCCAACCAGCAAAAACAAAACAGAGUUCAA